ACCGGCGGCUCAAGUGGUGGCCACUAUUAUUGGGCCUAAAGCGUUCGUAGCUGGUUUGAUAAGUCUCUGGUGAAAUCCUGCGGCUCAACCGUGGGGCUUGCUGGAGAUACUAGCAGGCUUGAGGUCGGGAGAGGUUAGAGGUACUCCAGGGGUAGGGGUGAAAUCCUGUAAUCCUUGGAGGACCACCUGUGGCGAAGGCGUCUCACCAGGACGACUCUGACAGUGAGGAACGAAAGCUGGGGGAGCGAACCG
Molecule: ribosomal RNA, 252 nt
Filed under: uncultured prokaryote
Description: partial 16S rRNA
Rfam family: Archaeal small subunit ribosomal RNA
Source: RNAcentral